Molecule: long non-coding RNA, 1235 nt
Filed under: Anneissia japonica
Lineage: Eukaryota; Metazoa; Echinodermata; Crinoidea; Comatulida; Comatulidae
Description: uncharacterized LOC117102389, transcript variant X2
Source: RNAcentral
UCAUCUUUCAGUUUGUAAUAACAUUUUGUUUACAUGGUACGAAAACAACUUCCAAAUUGUCACAUGGUGUUCUGAUGCUAUAUAUAAUAUCAAUAUCAAUAGUUUUUAAAUAUCGCAGCAUUUGAGUGUGCCAUAUUGCAUCAUUAUUCAUUAGUUUGGACAAUGGUACAUUAUCUGAUAGACUGUUUAGAUAGCCACAAUACUGUAGCGUUCAUAUUCAACCGUUAGUCUUUAUUGUAUUCUCUUACCCUCUGAUUAAAUUUUGUGUCCCAUUAAAUAUUAUGUAACUCCUUUAGUGCUUUUGAAAUUUACGAGGGUAUAACAUGUUUGUUUAGUGUUACCAACACCUAUUGGAAGAUAAAUACAAUUACUGAAACUUCAACUUCAAUUAUUUCACUUGAAUAUAUUAUAUUAACAUGUGGCGUAACCAAAAUAACAAAGCUUGUAAACUUGACACGCAGUUACAAAUAAUAUUAACAAAUAGAAAAAAAUUGCAAUAAUGGAUAGACCUGAUGAUUGACUGUAAAAGCAGGUUUAAAAACAUUUUUCAUGGAUCAAGUGCAUACCGUAUCGUCUGCCAAGGGACUCAUCUAUUUUUCUUUGGAGUUAUCUCUAUCUGGAUUCGUGAACUACAAGUAUGGCGUUUCGAUCUUCGUUUGCUCGAGCAGCUUUGUUAGUCAUCAACCUGUUUGUGUGGGGAAUCGCUACGUUAGCUGUCGUCUGCGUCCAGAAGUUAGUCGUGUAUCCAAACCGCCUGCUCUAAGUAUACAAUGGGCAGACGAAUUUCAGCGCCUACGGUGAAACAAUAUCUACAAUUCUCAUAACUACUAUUACUUGCCUUCUUUGUGUACGAGUGCGUCGACCGAUAAGUUAAAUUGCUUGACCGGAAACUGUUUUAUAUUUUCUCAUCCGGUGAGAACAUUAGACGACUGUCCAACACACACGGCAUGUUUGUAAAGUGUUUCUGUUACAGCGUAGGCACGCAUGUUUCGGAUGAUUUUUUUUUUAAAAUUCGAAGUCGCACAAUGUUCACUCAUAAUGAUUAAAGGAAGAAAGAGAUGUAUGGGGAAUACACUGCACAACAUAUAGGCCUAUGCAUAGUCCUACAAUCAUUAUUUAAACUCUUUAUGUAGCUACAGUAGAUUUUCAAAUGUACACGGCUGCUAUUUUUCGGUACGUCUUGUCUUCGUUCUUGCCAAUUAGAAAGGAAAGAAGCGUCCUAAGAAGGGACGCUA